GGCAGUUUUCAGGUGACACACCCCAGAAUCGGGCUCCCUCCUCUCUGGUUUCAGGUGUGUCACCUGAGAACCACG
Molecule: non-coding RNA, 75 nt
Organism: Myotis davidii
Lineage: Eukaryota; Metazoa; Chordata; Mammalia; Chiroptera; Vespertilionidae
Source: Rfam